GAGACGGUAAGGAUUGACGGACUGAAGGCUCUUUCUCGAUUCCGUGGAAAAGUGGUGCAUGGCCGUUUUUUGGUUGGUGGAUCGAUCCGUCUGGUUAAUUCCGUUAACGAACGAGACCUCGGCACUCCGAAUAGCGCGGCGGACGUCGCGGCCUCCGGGCCGUCUUCCGCACGAGCUUCUUAGAGGGACCGUCCCCCGCCGGGGAAGGAGGUGCGAGGCAACGACAGGUCUGUGAUGCCCUUAGAUGUUCUGGGCCGCACGCGCAUUACACUGACGCGUCCAACGGGUGACUCCCGACCCGAAGGGGCCGGGGAAUCCGCAAGGCGCGUCGUGAUGGGGAUUGAACGUUGCAAUUGUUGUUCACGAACGAGGAAUUCCUAGUAGGCGCGGGUCAUCAACCCGCGCCGAUUACGUCCCUG
This 419-nucleotide ribosomal RNA is filed under the name uncultured eukaryote. Its description in RNAcentral is "bacterial SSU rRNA". It matches the Rfam family "Eukaryotic small subunit ribosomal RNA", at positions 1227 to 1655 of the family's 1831-position model. The record is from RNAcentral.